RNAcentral lists this ribosomal RNA (492 nucleotides) under uncultured bacterium. RNAcentral describes it as "partial 16S ribosomal RNA". It matches the Rfam family "Bacterial small subunit ribosomal RNA", at positions 29 to 507 of the family's 1533-position model. The record is from RNAcentral.
AGUGAACGCUGGCGGUAGGCCUAACACAUGCAAGUCGAACGGCAGCACAGUAAGAGCUUGCUCUUACGGGUGGCGAGUGGCGGACGGGUGAGGAAUACAUCGGAAUCUACUUUUUCGUGGGGGAUAACGUAGGUAAACUUACGCUAAUACCGCAUACGACCUACGGUUGAAAGCAGGGGAUCUUCGGACCUUGCGCGAUUGAAUGAGCCGAUGUCGGAUUAGCUAGUUGGCGGGGUAAAGGCCCACCAAGGCGACGAUCCGUAGCUGGUCUGAGAGGAUGAUCAGCCACACGGGAACUGAGACACGGUCCAGACUCCUACGGGAGGCAGCAGUGGGGAAUAUUGGACAAUGGGCGCAAGCCUGAUCCAGCCAUACCGCGUGGGUGAAGAAGGCCUUCGGGUUGUAAAGCCCUUUUGUUGGGAAAGAAAAGCAGCAGGUUAAUACCCCGCUGUUCUGACGGUACCCAAAGAAUAAGCACCGGCUAACUUCGUG